CGUUGGCUCCAGACAAAUAAACAUGGAGUCCAUCUUCCACGAGAAACAGCCUUCUGGAAAUAUGGAUGACAGUGGUUUUUUCUCUAUUCAGGUUAUAAGCAAUGCCUUGAAAGUUUGGGGUUUAGAACUAAUCCUGUUCAACAGUCCAGAGUAUCAGAGGCUCAGGAUCGAUCCUAUAAAUGAAAGAUCAUUUAUAUGCAAUUAUAAGGAACACUGGUUUACAGUUAGAAAAUUAGGAAAACAGUGGUUUAACUUGAAUUCUCUCUUGACGGGUCCAGAAUUAAUAUCAGAUACAUAUCUUGCACUUUUCUUGGCUCAAUUACAACAGGAAGGUUAUUCUAUAUUUGUUGUUAAGGGUGAUCUGCCAGAUUGCGAAGCUGACCAACUCCUGCAGAUGAUUAGGGUCCAACAGAUGCAUCGACCAAAACUUAUUGGAGAAGAAUUAGCACAACUAAAAGAGCAAAGAGUCCAUAAAACAGACCUGGAACGAGUGUUAGAAGCAAACGAUGGCUCAGGAAUGUUAGACGAAGAUGAGGAGGAUUUGCAGAGGGCUCUGGCACUAAGUCGCCAAGAAAUUGACAUGGAAGAUGAGGAAGCAGAUCUCCGCAGGGCUAUUCAGCUAAGUAUGCAAGGUAGUUCCAGAAACAUAUCUCAAGAUAUUCCACAGACAUCAGGUACAAAUCUUACUUCAGAAGAGCUUCGGAAGAGACGAGAAGCCUACUUUGAAAAGUAAAGUAGUUGACAGCAGCAAAAGCAGCAACAGCAGCAGCAGCAGCAGCAGCAGCAGCAGCAGCAGGGGGACCUAUCAGGACAGAGUUCACAUCCAUGUGAAAGGCCAGCCACCAGUUCAGGAGCACUUGGGAGUGAUC
This 869-nucleotide small RNA is filed under the name Pan troglodytes (chimpanzee). RNAcentral describes it as "processed transcript". The record is from RNAcentral. Lineage: Eukaryota; Metazoa; Chordata; Mammalia; Primates; Hominidae.